This 31-nucleotide non-coding RNA is filed under the name Mus musculus (house mouse). The record is from RNAcentral. Lineage: Eukaryota; Metazoa; Chordata; Mammalia; Rodentia; Muridae.
UCGAGAGUUGGUGCCGAAACCCGGGACAAGA